AGAUUGAACGCUGGCGGCAGGCCUAACACAUGCAAGUCGAGCGGCAGCACGGGUACUUGUACCUGGUGGCGAGCGGCGGACGGGUGAGUAAUGCCUAGGAAUCUGCCUGGUAGUGGGGGAUAACGCUCGGAAACGGACGCUAAUACCGCAUACGUCCUACGGGAGAAAGCAGGGGACCUUCGGGCCUUGCGCUAUCAGAUGAGCCUAGGUCGGAUUAGCUAGUUGGUGAGGUAAUGGCUCACCAAGGCGACGAUCCGUAACUGGUCUGAGAGGAUGAUCAGUCACACUGGAACUGAGACACGGUCCAGACUCCUACGGGAGGCAGCAGUGGGAAUAUUGGACAAUGGGCGAAAGCCUGAUCCAGCCAUGCCGCGUGUGUGAAGAAGGUCUUCGGAUUGUAAAGCACUUUAAGUUGGAGGAAGGCUAGUUACCUAAUACGUAUCUGUUUUGACGUUACGACAGAAUAAGCACCGCUAACUCUGU
Molecule: ribosomal RNA, 483 nt
Filed under: uncultured soil bacterium
Lineage: Bacteria
Description: bacterial SSU rRNA
Rfam family: Bacterial small subunit ribosomal RNA
Source: RNAcentral